GGUUAAGUGUUUGCCAGUAGGGCGACACUUUUUUUGCUAUACUUUGUAUACCAAACUUGAAUUUUUAUAUAAAUUGGCAAAAUUGUACGUCAAAAUGAAAAAAUUUAAACGUCGGAAACGUCGUAAUUGUCAAAUUUUGACUCGAACAAUUAUUUCCUAACCGCCAUAUUAUAUUGCAACCACCGAGUAACCACGCCCGGAAUUUCGGAUUUUUAGUUUUUUCUGCAUAUAUAUUUUCUGAGCCCUAAUACUUUAUUGUGAGAAUAUUAUUCGUCGCUUCUAGGGAUUUACUAUGGAAAAUACAGUGAAACGUAAUGUGAGAUAUCAAAAAUGUACUAUUUGUGGUCUAAAGAGGACCCCUGGACUGGAGCCAAUGUAUUUUUGAAGAAGUUUCCA
Melitaea cinxia (Glanville fritillary) is the source of this 396-nucleotide long non-coding RNA. RefSeq lists it as uncharacterized. The transcript has 4 exons. The record is from RefSeq and is a predicted model, not a curated record. Lineage: Eukaryota; Metazoa; Arthropoda; Insecta; Lepidoptera; Nymphalidae.